Molecule: ribosomal RNA, 267 nt
Filed under: uncultured archaeon
Lineage: Archaea
Description: partial 16S ribosomal RNA
Rfam family: Archaeal small subunit ribosomal RNA
Source: RNAcentral
AGUCACUGACAUUACGAUACCCCCGUAGUCCCAGCCGUAAACUAUGCGCGUUAGGUGUACUGGUGACCACGAGUCACCGGGGUGCCGAAGGGAAACCGUGAAACGUGCCGCCUGGGAAGUACGGUCGCAAAGGCUAGAAACUUAAAGGAAUUGGCGGGGAGCACCACAACGGGUGGAGCCUGCGGUUUAAUUGGACUCAACGCCGGAAAUCUCACCGGAUAGGACAGACAUAUGAUAGUCGGGCUGAAGACUCUACUUGAUGAUCUG